This 254-nucleotide ribosomal RNA is filed under the name uncultured bacterium. Its description in RNAcentral is "partial 16S ribosomal RNA". It matches the Rfam family "Bacterial small subunit ribosomal RNA", at positions 524 to 776 of the family's 1533-position model. The record is from RNAcentral.
UACGAAGGGGGCUAGCGUUGUUCGGAAUUACUGGGCGUAAAGCGCACGUAGGCGGAUAUUUAAGUCAGGGGUGAAAUCCCAGAGCUCAACUCUGGAACUGCCUUUGAUACUGGGUAUCUUGAGUAUGGAAGAGGUAAGUGGAAUUGCGAGUGUAGAGGUGAAAUUCGUAGAUAUUCGCAGGAACACCAGUGGCGAAGGCGGCUUACUGGUCCAUAACUGACGCUGAGGUGCGACAGCGUGGGGACGCAAACAGG